RNAcentral lists this ribosomal RNA (274 nucleotides) under uncultured bacterium. Its description in RNAcentral is "partial 16S ribosomal RNA". It matches the Rfam family "Bacterial small subunit ribosomal RNA", at positions 523 to 796 of the family's 1533-position model. The record is from RNAcentral.
AUACGGAGGGUCCGAGCGUUAAUCGGAAUUACUGGGCGUAAAGCGCGCGUAGGCGGCUAUAUAAGUCAGAUGUGAAAUCCCUGGGCUCAACCUAGGAACUGCAUUUGAAACUGUAUGGCUAGAGUAUGGUAGAGGUGAGUGGAAUUUCAGGUGUAGCGGUGAAAUGCGUAGAGAUCUGAAGGAACAUCAGUGGCGAAGGCGACUCACUGGGCCAUUACUGACGCUGAGGUGCGAAAGCGUGGGUAGCAAACAGGAUUAGAAACCCUUGUAGUCC